This is a long non-coding RNA of Zingiber officinale, 3752 nucleotides long. RefSeq lists it as uncharacterized. The record is from RefSeq and is a predicted model, not a curated record. Lineage: Eukaryota; Viridiplantae; Streptophyta; Magnoliopsida; Zingiberales; Zingiberaceae. The transcript is spliced from 7 exons.
CCAAACCUAAACCUAUAUCGCGCCGUCCACCGUAUACCGUCACGACACCACCACGACUUUCCUCCUAGCUGCUGCCGUCCGACCAUCUCUCUCAGCCUCAUCUCCCUCUUCCCCUUCCUAGAUCGACGCCCCUUCCUCUCUCGAUCAGGAUCAAGACACGACACCCUUGCUUCUCCGUCCAACCACACCGCAUCUCCUCCAACUCGAUAAGAGGAGGUCUUCUUCGCAUUCCGGUCAUUUUUAAGCCAAAACAGAGAUUUCCUCCAUGAGCGAUGACCUUUCUGUAAGUAGAACCUUUCCUUUUUUGUAUUUUCUCAGAUUUUCUCUGUGAGCCCUACCGGUUUCUUUGAUCUCAUGGAAGAAGCGGUGUAAAAGAAAGCAUUUUCACCCAAAUGUCGAUCUUGAGCGGAGGAAGAGUAGUGUGCGUGUUGAGAUCCAGGAUGUUCCCUAGCCCAAUCCAAGGGAUUUUUUUCUGUGUCGUACUGCUGUUGUUGUUGUUGUAUUGUUGUUUCGCCUUCUUCAAGUUAUCCCUUUUGCGGCGCCCUCCCUUUUUCCUACCCCUUUCUGGUUUUCCUCCCUUUUAUGGAUCCGGUUGGCGCAGUGUAAGCAUCAAGCAAUAAUAAGUGGCCGUAGUGGUGGUGGGAUGGAGAGAAGGGGAAGAGGUUGGUAGGUUGUCUUGCUGGCAUCGCAUUACUUUAGCGGAAGACAAAGAGAUUGUCAACUGGAGAAGAGGCCGGAGGGAGCUAGGGGAUGCGACCAUGGCGCUCCAAUGAGGCUGCAGUGGCUUUGAUUUGAAUGAGGCUGCAGGGCCUUUCUUGUGUUUUCCCCUGGAUUGAGGCAAUACUUCAUGGAGACGAGUGCGGGGCUGGUUGCCGGCUCGCACAAUAGAAACGAGCUAGUGGUCAUCAGGCGCGAUGGGGAAUCGGGGCCGAGACCGCUACAACAGCUGAGCGGGCAGGUGUGCCAGAUCUAUGGCGACGAUGUUGGCCUCACUGUCGACGGUGAUCUCUUUGUCGCGUGCAACGAAUGCGCCUUUCCUAUUUGCAGGACUUGCUACGAAUACGAGCGACGGGAAGGCAACCAAGUCUGCCCUCAGUGCAAGACCAUAUUCAAGCGGCUCAAAGGUACGUAAAAGAAUGAAACGCAAGGAAGCCCUAGAUCCCUUCCCUUCUUUCAUUUUUAGGAGAUAUAUUAAAAGUUUACUCCGCUAUAUGGGAAACUUGAGUUGGCCAUUUAGUGUAUUGCUAUACCAACACACGAAAGUUCCUUUUCAGCAAAUCUCGCCAGUCUUAAAUCCUGUAGUAAACCCCAGUGAUGGAUCCUUCGGGUAUAUGAUCCUUCUUGUUUUAGAACCUGAUAUGGUUUCAUCCGUAACUCCCUAUAGGGUUAGUAAUAGAUCUCUCUUUGCUUAUAUCUUACUUGUAUCAGAUUGUUGAAUUCAACGACAUUGUAAAUUUACAGCAGAAAUUGAAUUGUUUGUUAACUCAAUAUGAUCUUUGGGAAUAAACUAGAAAUUGAGAUGUUUGUUAUAAUCCAAAUAGAGAUGACUAACCAGAAAUUGAUCUGUUGGUUAAAAAUUAUGUUAGAUGGAGAGGAAUGUUAUUUGAUAGGUAAAAGAGAAGUUAAACCUUAUUGACUUUGGUGUUAGAUUUUGUCGAUAACUACAAAAAUUAUAAUGAUGAUUACGUCUCUUGAAAAGGAACACCAAUUAAACAUAAUUGUACUUUUCAAUUAAACAUAAUUGAAAAGGAAAUCUCCGCUUUGGCAUUCUUCGUGAUGGAAAAGCUCGCGACUUUCAUCAGCGCUUCGUGAAGAUAUUCUCACGAAGGCCUUGAAUUCUAACGAACAUGGUGGACAUGUGAGAGGCAUAGGAGCAAAUGCCACUCCAUCAUCCUUCUUCAAGGUUGCUAGAGGGAAGGUGCAAAUUGAAGGAAUUCGAAGUGAUACUACACCGGUUGCAUAUAUUACAUCUAAAAGAUGUGAUUCGAAGGAAUUCAUUGGGGCUCGAUGCAGAGGUAUAGUUCAUCUUAUUCUUACAAUAUGCAUUGUCAUCUUUUGUAAUUGUUGGAUGCUUUUGUAAAGCAUAAAUUUUUCAUCGACAUGUACUAAAUCCUUGUUACAAGUGCUGUGGUUGUUCAGGCUUGUACAUAUAAGCGAUAGUUCUUGAAUUCCUUUAAUUGGUGAAGCAUCUUAGGAUUGAGCUCUGCAAAUUCAAAGUGUCCCAGAUGAUAAUGUGCAGCUUUUUUUGACCUGUAGUAUUUUGGUUUGCACUUGUACUCUAUGGCUUCAGUUAUUCAGAUCCUAGGUUUAUGUUUGCUUUGGCCUAUUUGCAUAUAUUGUAGCAUGAAAAUAGAUGCUGAUACACAGUUUUGGCUACACACUUGGGUGCAUCUUUUGUUUUUUUAAUUUGUAGUGUUAAUUUUAGUUCAUAUUUUUCUUUAUCCGCUUGUAACACUGCCUUAUGUUUUUGCCACUUUCAAUUAUAUUGAUUAUCUCUUUUUGGGUGAUUACGUUGAUCGUGGCCAACAUAGCCUGGAAACUAUUACUCUUCUCCUUGCAUUGAAGGUAUUACUUUCCCCUCAAGCUUGUCAAUGUGAUCAGUCUUAUCCAAGCAAAUAUUUUUAUGAAAAUAUUUAGCAUCAAAGAAUUCUUGAAGAUUGAGUAUCCACAUAAUAUACAUUUAAUUCGUGGAAACCAUGAGGCAACAGACAUUAAUGCUUUAUUUGGGUUUCGUACCGAGUGCAUCGAGAGAAUGGGAGAACAAGACGGAAUCUGGGCAUGACACCGUAUUAACAGAUUGUUUAAUUGGUUGCCUUUAGCUGCUUUAAUGGAGAAGAAAGUUAUCUGCAUGCAUGGUGGUAUUGGUCAUUCCAUAAAUCAUGUAGAGCAGAUCGAAAACCUUCAACGACCUAUCACAAUGGAAACUGGCGCAAUAGUUCUUAUGGAUCUGCUAUGGUCUGAUCCAACAGAGAACGACAGUGUUGAGGGGUUAAGACCAAAUGGCAAGGGGUUUGGCUUGGUUACUUUUGGGGUGAGUGAUUAUAUGUUUGGCUCGGACCAUUUUCUACUCAAUUCCUAUACAAUGGUUUCAAAGUUUUGAUCUUUUGAUGUGACAAUCUGACCGAGUUAGUUAUUGAGUUCUGCAAUAAUAAUGACCUCCAGUUGAUAGUAAGGGCACAUGAGUGUGUCAUGGAUGGUUUUGAAUGAUUUGCUCAGAGUCAUUUAAUCACUCUUUUCUCUGCAACUAACUAUUGUGGAACAACAAAUAACACGGGGGCAAUUUUGGUUUUGGGACCAGAUCAAAGUUAAUUCAUCCCUUACCUCCUGCCUUCCAUUCUCCUGAAACAUCACCAGAACGUCAUAUUGAGGAUACAUGGAUGCAAGAAAUUAAUGCUAACAGACCAGCCACACCUACCCGAGGUAGACCUCAAGUGGCCAAUGAUCGAGGUUCUCUAGCCUGGAUAUAGAAAUCAUCCCAAAUAUGGUAUACUAAUUCCCCUUCUGUGAACUGAGGUUCCUGGUGGUUCAGCUGUUGGACCUACUCUUUUGAACAAGAAGCUGGGUUUAUAAACUGGCCAUCAAAAUUUGUAAAGCUCUUAGAUAUUUCAACAUGUAAAGUUGAUUGAAAGUUGCUCACCAAUAGUGUUUUUGUGGUAGUUAUUCUUUCCUUGUCGAGACAAACUGAGGUUAACAAUUACUAUGAGCCGUGUAUAAUAACAAUCUUUUCCCUUAUUGCAGUUCCGUCGCUAUAA